CAGUCGACGGUAGCACAGAGAGCUUGCUCUCGGGUGACGAGUGGCGGACGGGUGAGUAAUGUCUGGGAAACUGCCCGAUGGAGGGGGAUAACUACUGGAAACGGUAGCUAAUACCGCAUAACGUCGCAAGACCAAAGUGGGGGACCUUCGGGCCUCACACCAUCGGAUGUGCCCAGAUGGGAUUAGCUAGUAGGUGGGGUAAUGGCUCACCUAGGCGACGAUCCCUAGCUGGUCUGAGAGGAUGACCAGCCACACUGGAACUGAGACACGGUCCAGACUCCUACGGGAGGCAGCAGUGGGGAAUAUUGCACAAUGGGCGCAAGCCUGAUGCAGCCAUGCCGCGUGUAUGAAGAAGGCCUUCGGGUUGUAAAGUACUUUCAGCGGGGAGGAAGGCGGUGAAGUUAAUAACUUCACCGAUUGACGUUACCCGCAGAAGAAGCACCGGCUAACUCCGUGCCAGCAGCCGCGGUAAUACGGAGGGUGCAAGCGUUAAUCGGAAUUACUGGGCGUAAAGCGCACGCAGGCGGUCUGUCAAGUCGGAUGUGAAAUCCCCGGGCUUAACCUGGGAACUGCAUUCGAAACUGGCAGGCUGGAGUCUUGUAGAGGGGGGUAGAAUUCCAGGUGUAGCGGUGAAAUGCGUAGAGAUCUGGAGGAAUACCGGUGGCGAAGGCGGCCCCCUGGACAAAGACUGACGCUCAGGUGCGAAAGC
This 709-nucleotide ribosomal RNA is filed under the name Pantoea sp. RNAcentral describes it as "bacterial SSU rRNA". It matches the Rfam family "Bacterial small subunit ribosomal RNA", at positions 59 to 760 of the family's 1533-position model. Lineage: Bacteria; Pseudomonadati; Pseudomonadota; Gammaproteobacteria; Enterobacterales; Erwiniaceae. The record is from RNAcentral.